GGGUAGGUGGUUCAGUGGUAGAAUUCUCACCAUUCAUGCAAAAGACCCAGGUUCAAUUCUUGGCCUAUGCA
RNAcentral lists this transfer RNA (71 nucleotides) under Loxodonta africana (African savanna elephant). It matches the Rfam family "tRNA". From Rfam's summary of the family: Transfer RNA (tRNA) molecules are approximately 80 nucleotides in length. Their secondary structure includes four short double-helical elements and three loops (D, anti-codon, and T loops). Further hydrogen bonds mediate the characteristic L-shaped molecular structure. tRNAs have two regions of fundamental functional importance: the anti-codon, which is responsible for specific mRNA codon recognition, and the 3' end, to which the tRNAs corresponding amino acid is attached (by aminoacyl-tRNA synthetases). tRNAs cope with the degeneracy of the genetic code in two manners: having more than one tRNA (with a specific anti-codon) for a particular amino acid; and 'wobble' base-pairing, i.e. permitting non-standard base-pairing at the 3rd anti-codon position. Lineage: Eukaryota; Metazoa; Chordata; Mammalia; Proboscidea; Elephantidae. The record is from Rfam by way of RNAcentral.